AUGUUCUCUGUAGCUCUGAUACUGCUGCUGGCAGCUGGAUCCUGUGUGAACAGUAUUGAUCUCAUCCAGCCAGACUCAAUGGUUGUGCAGCCUGGACAGUCUUUGACCAUCAGCUGUCAGGUCUCUGGUUAUUCUAUGACUGAUAACAGCUAUGCAACAGGUUGGAUCAGACAGUGUGAAGGAAAACCCAUGGACUGGAUCUCCCAUCAGUGGGGUGGUGGUAGCUUAACUCAAAAUAAUGCUCUGAAGAACAAGUUCAGCUCCAGCAGAGACACGUCUGCUCUAACAAUGACUCUAAAAGGACAGAAUCUGCAGCCUGAGGACACAGCUGUGUAUUACUGUGUCAGAAGAGACACAGUGAGAGAUUCGCAGAGGCUGCAGAUUCCUACAAUCCACACCGCUGUUGUGGACCUGGUGACACCUGGAAGGGGGUACCUGAAGACAGCCAGCGGCUGGGUCGGAAGGUACAGCAGGCUGGAUCCAGAGAAGACAUCGCGGCCGAGACCCUCCGACAGGAUGGCGAGGAUCGGUCCAACAGGAGAGUCUUCUGAGGAUCUUCAGUUUCACUAA
Non-coding RNA from Centropristis striata (black sea bass), 570 nucleotides. Lineage: Eukaryota; Metazoa; Chordata; Actinopteri; Perciformes; Serranidae. The record is from the annotation of a RefSeq genome assembly.